RNAcentral lists this ribosomal RNA (510 nucleotides) under uncultured bacterium. Its description in RNAcentral is "bacterial SSU rRNA". It matches the Rfam family "Bacterial small subunit ribosomal RNA", at positions 15 to 518 of the family's 1533-position model. The record is from RNAcentral.
GAUUCUGGCUCAGGAUGAACGCUAGCUACAGGCUUAACACAUGCAAGUCGAGGGCAGCAUGUGGUGCUGCAACCAAUGAUGGCGACCGGCGCACGGGUGAGUAACGCGUAUCCAACCUUCCCUAUAGUAGAGGAUAGCCCGGCGAAAGUCGGAUUAAUACUCUAUGUUUUCCAAUGCAGACAUCUAAAAUGGAACAAAGGUUUACCGCUAUAGGAUGGGGAUGCGUCUGAUUAGAUAGUCGGCGGGGUAACGGCCCACCGAGUCGACGAUCAGUAGGGGUUCUGAGAGGAAGGUCCCCCACAUUGGAACUGAGACACGGUCCAAACUCCUACGGGAGGCAGCAGUGAGGAAUAUUGGUCAAUGGGCGAGAGCCUGAACCAGCCAAGUAGCGUGCAGGAUGACGGCCCUAUGGGUUGUAAACUGCUUUUAUACAGGGAUAAAGUGACGUACGUGUACGUUAUUGUAGGUACUGUAUGAAUAAGGACCGGCUAAUUCCGUGCCAGCAGCCGC